RNAcentral lists this ribosomal RNA (460 nucleotides) under uncultured Acidovorax sp. RNAcentral's name for it is "bacterial SSU rRNA". It matches the Rfam family "Bacterial small subunit ribosomal RNA", at positions 919 to 1382 of the family's 1533-position model. Lineage: Bacteria; Pseudomonadati; Pseudomonadota; Betaproteobacteria; Burkholderiales; Comamonadaceae. The record is from RNAcentral.
ACCCGCACAAGCGGUGGAUGAUGUGGUUAAUUCGAUACAACGCGAAAACCUUACCACCUUUGACAUGUACGGAAUCCUUUAGAGAUAGAGGAGUGCUCGAAAGAGAGCCGUAACACAGGUGCUGCAUGGCUGUCGUCAGCUCGUGUCGUGAGAUGUUGGGUUAAGUCCCGCAACGAGCGCAACCCUUGUCAUUAGUUGCUACAUUCAGUUGGGCACUCUAAUGAGACUGCCGGUGACAAACCGGAGGAAGGUGGGGAUGACGUCAAGUCCUCAUGGCCCUUAUAGGUGGGGCUACACACGUCAUACAAUGGAUGGUACAAAGGGUCGCCAACCCGCGAGGGGGAGCCAAUCCCACAAAGCCGGUCGUAGUCCGGAUCGCAGUCUGCAACUCGACUGCGUGAAGUCGGAAUCGCUAGUAAUCGCGGAUCAGCAUGUCGCGGUGAAUACGUUCCCGGGUCUU